Molecule: ribosomal RNA, 486 nt
Filed under: uncultured bacterium
Lineage: Bacteria
Description: partial 16S ribosomal RNA
Rfam family: Bacterial small subunit ribosomal RNA
Source: RNAcentral
AUUGAACGCUGGCGGCAUGCCUUACACAUGCAAGUCGAACGGCAGCACGGGUGCUUGCACCUGGUGGCGAGUGGCGAACGGGUGAGUAAUACAUCGGAACAUGUCCUGUAGUGGGGGAUAGCCCGGCGAAAGCCGGAUUAAUACCGCAUACGAUCUACGGAUGAAAGCGGGGGACGUUCGGGCCUCGCGCUAUAGGGUUGGCCGAUGGCUGAUUAGCUAGUUGGUGGGGUAAAGGCCUACCAAGGCGACGAUCAGUAGCUGGUCUGAGAGGACGACCAGCCACACUGGGACUUAGACACGGACCAGACUCCUACGGGAGGCAGCAGUGGGGAAUUUUGGACAAUGGGCGAAAGCCUGAUCCAGCAAUGCCGCGUGUGUGACGAAGGCCUUCGGUUUGUAAAGCACUUUUGUCCGGAAAGAAAUCCUUGGCCCUAAUACGGUCGGGGGAUGACGGUACCGGAAGAAUAAGCACCGGCUAACUACGUG